AGGACGAACGCUGGCGGCGUGCUUAACACAUGCAAGUCGAGCGGAAAGGCCCUUCGGGGUACUCGAGCGGCGAACGGGUGAGUAACACGUGAGCAACCUGCCCCUGGCUCUGGGAUAGCCUUCGGAAACGGGGAUUAAUACCGGAUAUUCACUGCUUCCUGCAUGGGGGGUGUGGAAAGUUUUUCGGCUGGGGUGGGCUCGCGGCCUAUCAGCUUGUUGGGGGGGUGACGGCCCACCAAGGCGACGACGGGUAG
Molecule: ribosomal RNA, 254 nt
Filed under: uncultured bacterium
Lineage: Bacteria
Description: partial small subunit ribosomal RNA
Rfam family: Bacterial small subunit ribosomal RNA
Source: RNAcentral